CCUACGGGAGGCAGCAGUGGGGAAUUUUCCGCAAUGGGCGAAAGCCUGACGGAGCAAUACCGCGUGAGGGAAGACUGCCUAUGGGUUGUAAACCUCUUUUUUCAGGGAGGAAUAAAUGACGUGUACCUGAAGAAUAAGCAUCGGCUAACUCCGUGCCAGCAGCCGCGGUAAGACGGAGGAUGCAAGUGUUAUCCGGAAUCACUGGGCGUAAAGCGUCUGUAGGUGGUUAGGUAAGUCAACUGUUAAAUCUUGAGGCUCAACCUCAAAAUCGCAGUCGAAACUAUCUGACUAGAGUAUAGUAGAGGUAAAGGGAAUUUCCAGUGGAGCGGUGAAAUGCGUAGAUAUUGGAAAGAACACCGAUGGCGAAGGCACUUUACUGGGCUAUUGCUGACACUCAGAGACGAAAGCUAGGGUAGCAAAUGGGAUUAGAUACCCCAGUAGUCCUAGCCGUAAACAAUGGAUACUAGAUGUUGAACAGAUCGACCUGUGCAGUAUCAAAGCUAACGCGUUAAGUAUCCCGCCUGGGAAGUAUGCUCGCAAGAGUGAAACUCAAAGGAAUUGACGG
RNAcentral lists this ribosomal RNA (565 nucleotides) under uncultured bacterium. Its description in RNAcentral is "bacterial SSU rRNA". It matches the Rfam family "Bacterial small subunit ribosomal RNA", at positions 338 to 916 of the family's 1533-position model. The record is from RNAcentral.